AGGCACAGAGGAAGCCGCAGCACCUAGCUCGGCUGCAAGGCCGAAAAGAAAUAUUUUAUCCUCUCUUCCCCUUUCCUGUCUUUUUCCUCAUUGAAUCUUUUCUUUUUCCUUCACAUCAACCAAAAUCCUUUAAGCAGGAAAACAUCUUACAAUAACGAAGUUUACAGAUAAGCAAACAAACCUGAGAGUUAAUUCCUAGAAAACUGUCCCAAUAGAAGUGCUUUAUGCUGAAACAAAGGGAUGCCACAUAGGGAGUACAAGUACCAGGAGGGGCUCAAAGUGCAGCUGGAAGGGGAGAUAUAUUGUUGGCAAAGAAUUUCUCCCAUUCCAUAUGCCGACUAUUCAAUCUGUUUUUACUUUGCUGUGCAGAAAUCUUUUAAAUUCCCAGAAGAGGACACUGAAUUUCCUGUACUAAAGCUACAGAUGGUUGUGAGCCACCAUGCUGGGAACCAAACCUGGGCCUUCUGGAAGAGCAGCUAGUCCUCAUCACCACAGAGCAUCCUACCUGUCCCUCUUGGAAGUAUUCCCUUUAGCAUCCUUUACACUUAUUGCCCCAACUAGGACGACGUCAGACGGCACGCUGAAGGUCAAUGCAGAACAUGGAUAACCUUGUCUUCUUCCAUGAAUUUUGUCUUCUCCAAUUCAGAAUUAUUUUGGCUAUUGGUCUGUUUCUUCUGUCCUCAUUUCUGUCUGG
Mus caroli (Ryukyu mouse) is the source of this 694-nucleotide non-coding RNA. The record is from RefSeq and is a predicted model, not a curated record. NCBI's taxonomy places the organism in Eukaryota, Metazoa, Chordata, Mammalia, Rodentia, Muridae.